UAAACUUUAUAUUUAUCAAAUUCUAAAUUUAUUUUUAUGGUAGCAAUUGUAAUUUACUCCAAUUUAAUAAAAUCCAUAUCUUAUACUUAAUUUUUAAUUAUUUUAAUCAAAAUUAAUUCAACCCAAAAAUAAUAAUUUUGAAAUUUAAAAUUUACAUUAAAUUUAAUAAAUUGAACCUUAAAUUAUACAAAUUAAAAAUCGGAUUAAAAAUCUCAAAUUUCUGCAUUCCGGAUCUCGCCGAAGACUCGCUGGUCGGUCGCCGGCAGCGCCGCGACAGUGGUAGGAAAUCGCGGUUGUUCAAAAUUAAGUGUUAUUCCCACCACCAGGCUCAGAUUUCACCGAUCAGUCCAUAUUUGGUGUCCAUUGGGCGAGAUUGGCCCUCUAAUCAGCCGGAACGGCUUAACAGGAGCCUAAAGUCGCCAUUAGUGUCACUGUCAGUCCAGAAGGAAGGAACCACAGCUCGCUUGAAUCACGAGCAGGAGAGAGAGAGAGAGAGCGCGAUGUUGAGCGGUGGCGAUUGGAGGCUCGGAUCGCUUGAAGCGGUGAUCGAAGGCUGAGGUCAUUCGCCUGCCUCUACUACGUUCACCGGAAACUGAAAAAGAGGUAGAGGAGAGAGGCUGGUGGCCAGACGACGAGGAGAGGAUGGGUUCGUUUAGCUCAGGUGGCCGAAACAAGAGAGGAGGAGAGAGAAAUUCGCUGUUGGCCGCUCGAUAGAAGAAGAGAAGAGAAGAAGAAGGAAAGAAAGAAAGAAAGAAAUGGGAGAAGAAGAAACUUCUAGAGCAUAUUAGGUGAUUCGGGUUCGAUUUAAACCGGUUUCGUCUAAAUCAAUGAUUUACUUUGGUUUUCUCUUGAUAUAAAGUUU
This 862-nucleotide long non-coding RNA is filed under the name Jatropha curcas. RNAcentral describes it as "long non-coding RNA (JCUR_LNC001345)". The record is from RNAcentral. Lineage: Eukaryota; Viridiplantae; Streptophyta; Magnoliopsida; Malpighiales; Euphorbiaceae.